Dendroctonus ponderosae (mountain pine beetle) is the source of this 191-nucleotide non-coding RNA. NCBI's taxonomy places the organism in Eukaryota, Metazoa, Arthropoda, Insecta, Coleoptera, Curculionidae. The record is from Rfam.
GUCGCUUCUCGGCACAUUAUGCUAAGAUCAAAGUGUAGUAACUGUUCUUAUCAGCUUAAUAUCUGAUACAUGCGGGACUAGUAUAUUAAACUGAUUUUUGGAAAUUGACGGAGGAAAUUGAUGGGGGCUUGCUCCACCUUUAUUGCGAGUUUGCCUGAUAUUGCAGUUCAAUUAAGAUUAGCCUAUUUGAU